UUGUUGUCGCCUUUGGAUUAUUGGGUUGCAUCCACACUUGUUAUAUAGUUUUGCAUACUCUUGUUUCCUUUCCAAUGGUGUUGACAAGAAUUAACGUAUUCGAGGUUAACAGCCAGUAACCACACCCAUGGCUAUUACAUGCAUAUAUGUUCACACCUGUUAUAUUGCUUAGUGUGGAUGCAUCCCAAAUGUCCAAAUGUGAUGAUAA
Molecule: microRNA precursor, 208 nt
Filed under: Picea abies (Norway spruce)
Lineage: Eukaryota; Viridiplantae; Streptophyta; Pinopsida; Pinales; Pinaceae
Description: miR11580 stem-loop (pab-MIR11580)
Source: miRBase by way of RNAcentral